This 471-nucleotide ribosomal RNA is filed under the name Enterobacter hormaechei. RNAcentral describes it as "bacterial SSU rRNA". It matches the Rfam family "Bacterial small subunit ribosomal RNA", at positions 30 to 490 of the family's 1533-position model. Lineage: Bacteria; Pseudomonadati; Pseudomonadota; Gammaproteobacteria; Enterobacterales; Enterobacteriaceae. The record is from RNAcentral.
UGAACGCUGGCGGCAGGCCUAACACAUGCAAGUCGAACGGUAACAGGAAGCAGCUUGCUGCUUUGCUGACGAGUGGCGGACGGGUGAGUAAUGUCUGGGAAACUGCCUGAUGGAGGGGGAUAACUACUGGAAACGGUAGCUAAUACCGCAUAACGUCGCAAGACCAAAGAGGGGGACCUUCGGGCCUCUUGCCAUCGGAUGUGCCCAGAUGGGAUUAGCUAGUAGGUGGGGUAACGGCUCACCUAGGCGACGAUCCCUAGCUGGUCUGAGAGGAUGACCAGCCACACUGGAACUGAGACACGGUCCAGACUCCUACGGGAGGCAGCAGUGGGGAAUAUUGCACAAUGGGCGCAAGCCUGAUGCAGCCAUGCCGCGUGUAUGAAGAAGGCCUUCGGGUUGUAAAGUACUUUCAGCGGGGAGGAAGGCGAUAAGGUUAAUAACCUUGUCGAUUGACGUUACCCGCAGAAGAAG